RNAcentral lists this transfer RNA (73 nucleotides) under Bacteroidota bacterium. Its description in RNAcentral is "Bacteroidetes bacterium (marine metagenome) tRNA-Gly". It matches the Rfam family "tRNA". From Rfam's summary of the family: Transfer RNA (tRNA) molecules are approximately 80 nucleotides in length. Their secondary structure includes four short double-helical elements and three loops (D, anti-codon, and T loops). Lineage: Bacteria; Pseudomonadati; Bacteroidota. RNAcentral also lists the same sequence under 1 other name. The record is from RNAcentral.
GCGGGAGUAACUCAGUUGGUAGAGUUACAGCCUUCCAAGCUGUCUGUCGCGGGUUCGAGUCCCGUCUCCCGCU